UACGUAGGGCGCAAGCGUUAUCCGGAAUUAUUGGGCGUAAAGAGCUCGUAGGCGGUUUGUCGCGUCUGCCGUGAAAGUCCGGGGCUCAACUCCGGAUCUGCGGUGGGUACGGGCAGACUAGAGUGAUGUAGGGGAGACUGGAAUUCCUGGUGUAGCGGUGAAAUGCGUAGAUAUCGAGAGGAACACCUGCGGCGAAGGCGGGUUGCUGGGCCGACACUGACGCUGAAGCGCGAAAGCUAGGGGAGCGAACGGG
Molecule: ribosomal RNA, 253 nt
Filed under: uncultured bacterium
Lineage: Bacteria
Description: partial 16S ribosomal RNA
Rfam family: Bacterial small subunit ribosomal RNA
Source: RNAcentral